This is a long non-coding RNA of Hypanus sabinus (Atlantic stingray), 1775 nucleotides long. RefSeq lists it as uncharacterized. The transcript has 4 exons. The record is from RefSeq and is a predicted model, not a curated record. NCBI's taxonomy places the organism in Eukaryota, Metazoa, Chordata, Chondrichthyes, Myliobatiformes, Dasyatidae.
CACUCCCACAGGAGAAGCCCUAACCCCGCUCCGUCCCCACCGGGCCCUUGCGGUGGCUGCAGCGAGUUUGAGUUUGUCCCUCAGCACGUACUCCUGCAGCCGAGAAUGUGCCAGUCGGCAGCAUUCCCCCACGGAUAUCUCCGUGUGCUGGUAGACCAUCAAGUUUCGGGCCGACCAAAGUGCGUCUUUGACCGAGUUGAUGAUCUGCCAGCAGCACCGGAUGUUGGUCUCCAUGUGCGUCCCCGGGAACAGCCCGGAGAUCAGAGAGUCCUCUGUAACGCAGCUGCUGGGGAUGAACCCCGACACUGCCUCUUCCAUCCUUCUCCACGAACACACAGUGUGCAAAGAGGUGGGUCACCGACUCCUCCUCUCUGCAGUCCUCCCGUGGGCAGAGGGGUGUGGAGGUGACGUUCCGGGCGUACAGGAGGGAUCGGACUGGGAGGCCCCUCUCACCACCAGCCAGGCGAGGUCUUGGUGCCUGUUGCUGAGGUCUGGCGAUGAGGCAUUUUGCCAGAUGAACUGGACGGUCUGCUCAGGGAACCACCCCACUGUGUCCAUCGCGUCCUUCUCCUGCAGGACCUUACGUGCUGACCACUGCCUGACGGCCCUGUGGUCAAAGGCGUUGACCUGAAAGAACUUCUCUACGAAGGACAGAGUUGGAACUCCCCAUCUUUGAGCAAGAGAGAUGUCCAUAAGAUUCCUGGCUGCACCAGAGUCGAUAAACGCCUUAAGUUCAUGGGUCUGAGACCUCCAUGACAAGGAAGCUGCAAGCAUUACACAAUUAGGGGAAGCAGACUGAAGACAGAACCGACCCAUCUGGCCUCCCCUCCCUGCUGACAGAUGUUGCCUGAGCCACUGAGCGAUCCCAGCGUUCCAGGCCUGACCAGCAGCAUCAAAACCUGCGGCCACUGCAUUGGCUGCUCUCCAUUCUCCUGAAUUGAGGAGCUGGACAUUUAGUUCCAUCUUCUCUGCCCUCUACAAGGUCUGGAAACACCUGGCGUCACAUCCUCCGUGGGCAGGCUCGGUGCCAACCUACUCCUCUCCCCCAAGCCUCGCACCCCCACCAAACUGCCCAUCGCAUAAGGCUGCCCCUUUCCAUCGUGUCCGCUGAGGGCUUUCACAGGAGGAUCGUCGCCUGUAUGGACUGGCCAGCUUUCAGCGGUCUGUGCCUUACGGAAGCAAGUUGCAGGCAUGAAGUCCCAGCCAACAUGUCGGCACAGAUUAGCAGGGUCUGAACUUCGAGCGUCGACCACAUCUGUCUCCACAGACGCUGCCUGACCUGCUGAGAACUUCCAGCUGGUGGAACAUCACUAAAAAGUACCACAGGUCUUCCGAACCCACGGGACAGCAAAUCCCAAACCCACCGCCUCUCCCACCCCAAGACCAGAGCCGCUGAAGCCCCGCGACCCGUAGGUAUUUCCCCGUCCCGGUGAGAAAUGUCAGGAUGACUUCUCCGAAUAAAGGUGGCGGAGCGGACCGUGAACUACGUUAGCCGAACCGCUGAGUUUUCUCAGGGAUCUUAUUUCAGAUUUGCAGGCGCUGGCGGGGAGGGAGUUAAACCAGUUAAGCCCACCUUUCUCAAGCGAACGGCGGCCCAGUCAGCAGAAGGCGGAGGGUUUCCGAGCGCCGGGAUCUGGACUGGCGCUCCCGGCCGCCGUCACUGGGUGGCGGUAGGAGCCGCGAGUCUGAACCUCAGCUUGGCUCCAGACGCCGGGGCCACGGGGGUAGAGACUGACUGGGGGCAGCAGCGGGGAUAGACGAGUGGAAGAAAUGUG